RNAcentral lists this ribosomal RNA (429 nucleotides) under Chloroflexota bacterium. RNAcentral's name for it is "Chloroflexi bacterium partial 16S ribosomal RNA". It matches the Rfam family "Bacterial small subunit ribosomal RNA", at positions 355 to 776 of the family's 1533-position model. Lineage: Bacteria; Bacillati; Chloroflexota. The record is from RNAcentral.
UGGGGAAUAUUGCACAAUGGGCGCAAGCCUGAUGCAGCCAUGCCGCGUGUGUGAAGAAGGCCUUCGGGUUGUAAAGCACUUUCAGCGGGGAGGAAGGCGUUAAGGUUAAUAACCUUGGCGAUUGACGUUACCCGCAGAAGAAGCACCGGCUAACUCCGUGCCAGCAGCCGCGGUAAUACGGAGGGUGCAAGCGUUAAUCGGAAUUACUGGGCGUAAAGCGCACGCAGGCGGUCUGUCAAGUCGGAUGUGAAAUCCCCGGGCUCAACCUGGGAACUGCAUUCGAAACUGGCAGGCUAGAGACCUGUAGAAGGGGGUAGAAUUACAGGUGUAGCGGUGAAAUGCGUAGGGAUCUGGAGGAAUACCGGUGGCGAAGGCGGCCCCCUGGACAAAGACUGACGCUCAGGUGCGAAAGCGUGGAGAGCAAACAGG